RNAcentral lists this ribosomal RNA (620 nucleotides) under uncultured bacterium. Its description in RNAcentral is "bacterial SSU rRNA". It matches the Rfam family "Bacterial small subunit ribosomal RNA", at positions 85 to 703 of the family's 1533-position model. The record is from RNAcentral.
UUGAUGGCGACCGGCGCACGGGUGAGUAACACGUAUCCAACCUUCCGUUUACUCAGGGAUAGCCUUUCGAAAGAAAGAUUAAUACCUGAUAGUAUGGUGAGAUUGCAUGAUAACACCAUUAAAGAUUUAUUGGUAAACGAUGGGGAUGCGUUCCAUUAGGUAGUAGGCGGGGUAACGGCCCACCUAGCCUGCGAUGGAUAGGGGUUCUGAGAGGAAGGUCCCCCACAUUGGAACUGAGACACGGUCCAAACUCCUACGGGAGGCAGCAGUGAGGAAUAUUGGUCAAUGGGCGAGAGCCUGAACCAGCCAAGUAGCGUGAAGGAUGAAGGUCCUACGGAUUGUAAACUUCUUUUAUACGGGAAUAAAGUUUCCUACGUGUAGGAUUUUGUAUGUACCGUAUGAAUAAGCAUCGGCUAACUCCGUGCCAGCAGCCGCGGUAAUACGGAGGAUGCGAGCGUUAUCCGGAUUUAUUGGGUUUAAAGGGAGCGCAGACGGGAGAUUAAGUCAGUUGUGAAAGUUUGCGGCUCAACCGUAAAAUUGCAGUUGAUACUGGUUUCCUUGAGUGCAGUUGAGGCAGGCGGAAUUCGUGGUGUAGCGGUGAAAUGCUUAGAUAUCACGAA